GCCACCGUAGCUCAACCGGCAGAGCACCGCUUUCGUAAAGCGGGGGUUGUGAGUUCGAGUCUCACCGGUGGCU
Molecule: transfer RNA, 73 nt
Filed under: Isosphaeraceae bacterium
Lineage: Bacteria; Pseudomonadati; Planctomycetota; Planctomycetia; Isosphaerales; Isosphaeraceae
Description: tRNA-Thr
Rfam family: tRNA
About the family: Transfer RNA (tRNA) molecules are approximately 80 nucleotides in length. Their secondary structure includes four short double-helical elements and three loops (D, anti-codon, and T loops).
Source: RNAcentral